This 492-nucleotide ribosomal RNA is filed under the name uncultured bacterium. RNAcentral describes it as "partial 16S ribosomal RNA". It matches the Rfam family "Bacterial small subunit ribosomal RNA", at positions 29 to 507 of the family's 1533-position model. The record is from RNAcentral.
AGUGAACGCUGGCGGUAGGCCUAACACAUGCAAGUCGAACGGCAGCACAGUAAGAGCUUGCUCUUACGGGUGGCGAGUGGCGGACGGGUGAGGAAUACAUCGGAAUCUACUUUUUCGUGGGGGAUAACGUAGGGAAACUUACGCUAAUACCGCAUACGACCUACGGGUGGAAGCAGGGGAUCUUCGGACCUUGCGCGAUUGAAUGAGCCGAUGUCGGAUUAGCUAGUUGGCGGGGUAAAGGCCCACCAAGGCGACGAUCCGUAGCUGGUCUGAGAGGAUGAUCAGCCACACUGGAGCUGAGACACGGUCCAGACUCCUACGGGAGGCAGCAGUGGGGAAUAUUGGACAAAGGGCGCAAGCCUGAUCCAGCCAUACCGCGUGGGUGAAGAAGGCCUUCGGGUUGUAAAGCCCUUUUGUUGGGAAAGAAAAGCAGCAGGUUAAUACCCCGCUGUUCUGACGGUACCCAAAGAAUAAGCACCGGCUAACUUCGUG